Molecule: unclassified non-coding RNA, 353 nt
Filed under: soil metagenome
Description: partial contains 5.8S ribosomal RNA, internal transcribed spacer 2, and large subunit ribosomal RNA
Rfam family: 5.8S ribosomal RNA (bases 1-120)
Source: RNAcentral
GAUGAAGAACGUAGCGAAAUGCGAUAAGUAAUGUGAAUUGCAGAAUUCAGUGAAUCAUCGAAUCUUUGAACGCACAUUGCGCCCGACAGUAUUCUGGCGGGCAUGCCUGUUCGAGCGUCAUUACAACCCUCAGGCCCCCGGGCCUGGCGUUGGGGAUCGGCGGAAGCCCCCUGCGGGCACAACGCCGUCCCCCAAAUACAGUGGCGGUCCCGCCGCAGCUUCCAUUGCGUAGUAGCUAACACCUCGCAACUGGAGAGCGGCGCGGCCACGCCGUAAAACACCCAACUUCUGAAUGUUGACCUCGAAUCAGGUAGGAAUACCCGCUGAACUUAAGCAUAUCAAUAAGCGGAGGA